CCAAUAGCGUAUAUUAAAGUUGUUGCAGUUAAAAAGCUCGUAGUUGAAUUUCGAGACCGGUUUACUGGUCGUGCUUUUGUACGUACUGGUAUAAUCGGUUUCUCUCUUCUGACGAACUAUAAUGCCAUUAAUCUGGUUGUUAUAGAGAAUCAGGACUGUUACUUUGAAAAAAUUAGAGUGUUUAAAGCAGGCUCACGCUUGAAUACAUUAGCAUGGAAUAACAAAAUCGGGCGUUUGAUUCUAUUUUGUUGGUUUCUAGGAUCGACGUAAUGAUUAAUAGGGAUAGUUGGGGGCAUUAGUAUUCAAUUGUCAGAGGUGAAAUUCUUGGAUUUAUUGAAGACUAACUACUGCGAAAGCAUUUGCCAAGGAUGUUUUCAUUAAUCAAGAACGAAAGUUAGGGGAUCGAAGACGAUCAGAUACCGUCGUAGUCUUAACCAUAAACUAUGCCGACUAGGGAUCGGAUGAUGUUAAUAUUAAUGACUCAUUCGGCACCUUACG
RNAcentral lists this ribosomal RNA (498 nucleotides) under uncultured Glomeromycotina. Its description in RNAcentral is "partial small subunit ribosomal RNA". It matches the Rfam family "Eukaryotic small subunit ribosomal RNA", at positions 591 to 1092 of the family's 1831-position model. Lineage: Eukaryota; Fungi; Glomeromycota. The record is from RNAcentral.